AAGGGGUGUUUGGAAUGAAGUUUGAUCCAAGAUCCUUGUCUCUCCCGUUCAUUUAGUAAUGUUACUGCUAGGUUUCGCUAUGUAUUGAUCAGUGUAUACACAGCAGCUACGAGCUAGGCCUUGUGUUUCAGAUUUUAGCUUCAAUAUAGAGUGAGAGUGAUAGAGUUUGAUUCAAGAUCCAUCUCAUGUGUGCUAGCUAGCUUUUAAAUUUUUAAUCAUAUCCCUACUUCCUGUUAAUUCUUAGGUUUUAUCUUGCAAGUUAUUAUAUUUAGUAAACAUCAUGAACUGAUCUCGGACCAGGCUUCAUUCCUUACACCGAA
This 320-nucleotide microRNA precursor is filed under the name Populus trichocarpa (black cottonwood). RNAcentral's name for it is "miR166o stem-loop (ptc-MIR166o)". Its record names the gene ptc-MIR166o. Lineage: Eukaryota; Viridiplantae; Streptophyta; Magnoliopsida; Malpighiales; Salicaceae. The record is from miRBase by way of RNAcentral.